RNAcentral lists this ribosomal RNA (487 nucleotides) under uncultured bacterium. Its description in RNAcentral is "partial 16S ribosomal RNA". It matches the Rfam family "Bacterial small subunit ribosomal RNA", at positions 28 to 507 of the family's 1533-position model. The record is from RNAcentral.
GACGAACGCUGGCGGCGUGCUUAACACAUGCAAGUCGAACGGGCUCUGUCUGGCUGUGUGCUGGGUGGGGUUAGUGGCGAACGGGUGAGUAAUACGUGAGUAACCUGCCCUCUUCUUUGGGAUAAGCCUUGGAAACGGGGUCUAAUACUGGAUAUUCCUGUCUGGUCGCAUGGCUGGGUGGGGAAAGUUUUUUUCGGUGGGGGAUGGGCUCGCGGCCUAUCAGCUUGUUGGUGGGGUGAUGGCCUACCAAGGCGUCGACGGGUAGCCGGCCUGAGAGGGUGACCGGCCACACUGGGACUGAGAUGCGGCCCAGACUCCUACGGGAGGCAGCAGUGGGGGAUAUUGCACAAUGGGCGCAAGCCUGAUGCAGCGACGCCGCGUGGGGGAUGACGGCUUUCGGGUUGUAAACCUCUUUCGUCGGGGGACAAGGCUCUGCUUGGUGGUGGGGUUGAGGGUACCCGGUGAAGAAGCGCCGGCUAACUACGUG